UGCCAUCGCUGGUGAAACAGGUACCCUAAU
RNAcentral lists this non-coding RNA (30 nucleotides) under Mus musculus (house mouse). Lineage: Eukaryota; Metazoa; Chordata; Mammalia; Rodentia; Muridae. The record is from RNAcentral.